UACGAAGGGGGCUAGCGUUGCUCGGAAUCACUGGGCGUAAAGCGCACGUAGGCGGAUCGUUAAGUCAGGGGUGAAAUCAUGGAGCUCAACUCCAGAACUGCCUUUGAUACUGGCGAUCUUGAGUUCGGGAGAGGUGAGUGGAACUGCGAGUGUAGAGGUGAAAUUCGUAGAUAUUCGCAAGAACACCAGUGGCGAAGGCGGCUCACUGGCCCGAUACUGACGCUGAGGUGCGAAAGCGUGGGGAGCAAACAGG
RNAcentral lists this ribosomal RNA (253 nucleotides) under uncultured bacterium. RNAcentral's name for it is "partial 16S ribosomal RNA". It matches the Rfam family "Bacterial small subunit ribosomal RNA", at positions 524 to 776 of the family's 1533-position model. The record is from RNAcentral.